CCUGCUUCCACUUUCAUUCUCAACCAAAACCACCGCUCUGAAUUAAUGCUCAUAUCUCAGCUACAAUGUCCUCCUCUCCUCUCCCCUCCCAGCGCAGCCACAUUCUGCCUGGAAACUCCAUCAUUGUAGCUGCUGUUGAAGGAUCUCUGAGCUAGUUAUCUACCUGCAUGCAUGCUGGUGCUAACACACAAUCUAGGAGUUUCUUUUUUUCUUUCUCGUCCAAGUGCUGAUACCCUGAGUUCCAUGGAAGGAUAGAAUCAGUUUUAAGAAUUUACAAGAGAGAUUUGGAAGUGAUCUUGGACUUGGUUUGUUGUUACAGUGAAUUCUGUUCUAGCAAAGAUCCUUAUUUCAUAAUCAAUCC
This 361-nucleotide long non-coding RNA is filed under the name Populus tremula. RNAcentral's name for it is "long non-coding RNA (PTRE_LNC001752)". Lineage: Eukaryota; Viridiplantae; Streptophyta; Magnoliopsida; Malpighiales; Salicaceae. The record is from RNAcentral.